RNAcentral lists this ribosomal RNA (498 nucleotides) under uncultured bacterium. RNAcentral describes it as "partial 16S ribosomal RNA". It matches the Rfam family "Bacterial small subunit ribosomal RNA", at positions 30 to 523 of the family's 1533-position model. The record is from RNAcentral.
AUUGAACGCUGGCGGCAUGCCUUACACAUGCAAGUCGAACGGCAGCACGGGGCAACCUGGUGGCGAGUGGCGAACGGGUGAGUAAUGCAUCGGAACGUACCUUUCAGUGGGGGAUAACGUAGCGAAAGUUACGCUAAUACCGCAUAUUCUGUGAGCAGGAAAGCAGGGGAUCGCAAGACCUUGCGCUGAUUGAGCGGCCGAUGUCAGAUUAGCUAGUUGGUGAGGUAAAGGCUCACCAAGGCGACGAUCUGUAGCGGGUCUGAGAGGAUGAUCCGCCACACUGAAACUGAGACACGGUCCAGACUCCUACGGGAGGCAGCAGUGGGGAAUUUUGGACAAUGGGGGCAACCCUGAUCCAGCCAUGCCGCGUGAGUGAGGAAGGCCUUCGGGUUGUAAAGCUCUUUCGGCCGGGAAGAAAUCGCACGGGCUAAUACCCUGUGUGGAUGACGGUACCGGAAUAAGAAGCACCGGCUAACUACGUGCCAGCAGCCGCGGUAA